Molecule: ribosomal RNA, 443 nt
Filed under: uncultured Paracoccaceae bacterium
Lineage: Bacteria; Pseudomonadati; Pseudomonadota; Alphaproteobacteria; Rhodobacterales; Paracoccaceae
Description: bacterial SSU rRNA
Rfam family: Bacterial small subunit ribosomal RNA
Source: RNAcentral
GUCCUACGGGUGGCAGCAGUGGGGAAUCUUAGACAAUGGGGGAAACCCUGAUCUAGCCAUGCCGCGUGAGCGAUGAAGGCCUUAGGGUUGUAAAGCUCUUUCAGCUGGGAAGAUAAUGACGGUACCAGCAGAAGAAGCCCCGGCUAACUCCGUGCCAGCAGCCGCGGUAAUACGGAGGGGGCUAGCGUUGUUCGGAAUUACUGGGCGUAAAGCGCGCGUAGGCGGACCAGAAAGUUGGGGGUGAAAUCCCGGGGCUCAACCUCGGAACUGCCUUCAAAACGCCUGGUCUGGAGUUCGAGAGAGGUGAGUGGAAUUCCGAGUGUAGAGGUGAAAUUCGUAGAUAUUCGGAGGAACACCAGUGGCGAAGGCGGCUCACUGGCUCGAUACUGACGCUGAGGUGCGAAAGCGUGGGGAGCAAACAGGAUUAGAUACCCGGGUAGUCC